GACGAACGCUGGCGGCGUGCUUAACACAUGCGAGUCGAACGGAAAGGCCCUGCUUUUGUGGGGUGCUCGAGUGGCGAACGGGUGAGUAACACGUGAGUAACCUGCCCUUGACUUUGGGAUAACUUCAGGAAACUGGGGCUAAUACCGGAUAGGAGCUCCUGCUGCAUGGAGGGGGUUGGAAAGUUUCGGCGGUUGGGGAUGGACUCGCGGCUUAUCAGCUUGUUGGUGGGGUAGUGGCUUACCAAGGCUUUGACGGGUAGCCGGCCUGAGAGGGUGACCGGCCACAUUGGGACUGAGAUACGGCCCAGACUCCUACGGGAGGCAGCAGUGGGGAAUAUUGCACAAUGGGCGGAAGCCUGAUGCAGCAACGCCGCGUGCGGGAUGACGGCCUUCGGGUUGUAAACCGCUUUCGCCUGUGACGAAGCGUGAGUGACGGUAAUGGGUAAAGAAGCACCGGCUAACUACGUG
This 468-nucleotide ribosomal RNA is filed under the name uncultured bacterium. Its description in RNAcentral is "partial 16S ribosomal RNA". It matches the Rfam family "Bacterial small subunit ribosomal RNA", at positions 28 to 507 of the family's 1533-position model. The record is from RNAcentral.